AGUGAACGCUGGCGGCAGGCCUAAUACAUGCAAGUCGAACGGCAGCACAGCAGAGCUUGCUCUGUGGGUGGCGAGUGGCGGACGGGUGAGGAAUACAUGGGAAUCUGCCCAGUCGUGGGGGAUAACGUAUGGAAACGUACGCUAAUACCGCAUGCGCCCUACGGGGGAAAGCCGGGGACCGCAAGGCCUGGCGCGAUUGGAUGAGCCCAUGUUCGAUUAGCUAGUUGGCGGGGUAAAGGCCCACCAAGGCGACGAUCGAUAGCUGGUCUGAGAGGAUGAUCAGCCACACUGGAACUGAGACACGGUCCAGACUCCUACGGGAGGCAGCAGUAGGGAAUAUUGGACAAUGGGGGCAACCCUGAUCCAGCCAUGCCGCGUGAGUGAAGAAGG
Molecule: ribosomal RNA, 390 nt
Filed under: uncultured bacterium
Lineage: Bacteria
Description: bacterial SSU rRNA
Rfam family: Bacterial small subunit ribosomal RNA
Source: RNAcentral